UGGGGAAUCUUGCGCAAUGGGCGAAAGCCUGACGCAGCGACGCCGCGUGAGGGAGGAAGGCCUUCGGGUUGUAAACCUCUUUCAGGAGGGACGAAGCUACUCGGGUUAAUAGCCCAGAGGGUGACGGUACCUCCAGAAGAAGCCCCGGCUAACUACGUGCCAGCAGCCGCGGUAAUACGUAGGGGGCAAGCGUUGUCCGGAUUUACUGGGCGUAAAGCGCGUGUAGGCGGCCACGCAGGUCCGUUGUGAAAACUGGAGGCUUAACCUCCAGACGUCGACGGAAACCGCAUGGCUAGAGUCCGGAAGAGGAGAGUGGAAUUCCUGGUGUAGCGGUGAAAUGCGCAGAUAUCAGGAAGAACACCAAUGGCGAAGGCAGCUCUCUGGGACGGUACUGACGCUGAGACGCGAAAGCGUGGGGAGCGAACAGG
RNAcentral lists this ribosomal RNA (428 nucleotides) under uncultured bacterium. Its description in RNAcentral is "bacterial SSU rRNA". It matches the Rfam family "Bacterial small subunit ribosomal RNA", at positions 355 to 776 of the family's 1533-position model. The record is from RNAcentral.